GAUGAACGCUGGCGGCGUGCCUAAUACAUGCAAGUCGAGCGAACAGACGAGGAGCUUGCUCCUCUGACGUUAGCGGCGGACGGGUGAGUAACACGUGGAUAACCUACCUAUAAGACUGGGAUAACUUCGGGAAACCGGAGCUAAUACCGGAUAAUAUAUUGAACCGCAUGGUUCAAUAGUGAAAGACGGUUUUGCUGUCACUUAUAGAUGGAUCCGCGCCGCAUUAGCUAGUUGGUAAGGUAACGGCUUACCAAGGCGACGAUGCGUAGCCGACCUGAGAGGGUGAUCGGCCACACUGGAACUGAGACACGGUCCAGACUCCUACGGGAGGCAGCAGUAGGGAAUCUUCCGCAAUGGGCGAAAGCCUGACGGAGCAACGCCGCGGGAGUGAUGAAGGUCUGCGGAUCGUAAAACUCUGUUAUUAGGGAAGAACAAAUGUGUAAGUAACUAUGCACGUCUGGACGGUACCUAAUCAGAAAGCCACGGCGAACUACGU
RNAcentral lists this ribosomal RNA (496 nucleotides) under uncultured bacterium. RNAcentral describes it as "partial 16S ribosomal RNA". It matches the Rfam family "Bacterial small subunit ribosomal RNA", at positions 28 to 506 of the family's 1533-position model. The record is from RNAcentral.